This 2416-nucleotide ribosomal RNA is filed under the name human gut metagenome. RNAcentral's name for it is "bacterial LSU rRNA". It matches the Rfam family "Bacterial large subunit ribosomal RNA", at positions 493 to 2925 of the family's 2925-position model. The record is from RNAcentral.
AACCAGUACCGUGAGGGAAAGGUGAAAAGAACCCCGGGAGGGGAGUGAAAGAGAACCUGAAACCAUAUGCCUACAAGAAGUCAGAGCCCGUUAAAGGGUGAUGGCGUGCCUUUUGUAGAAUGAACCGGCGAGUUACUGUAUGGAGCGAGGUUAAGCAGGAUAUGCGGAGCCGAAGCGAAAGCGAGUCUUAAGAGGGCGCGAGUUGCAUGCAGUAGACCCGAAACCGGGUGAUCUAGCUAUCCAUGGGCAGGCUGAAGUGGAGGUAAAACUCCAUGGAGGGCCGAACACACGUUCGUUGCAAUGACCGGUGAUGACCUGUGGAUAGCGGUGAAAUUCCAAUCGAACCCGGAGAUAGCUGGUUCUCCCCGAAAUAGCUUUAGGGCUAGCGUCGAGAGAAGAGUUGCGUGAAGGUAGAGCACUGAAUAUGUGAUGGCCCCAUCUCGGGGUACUGAGCAUAAUCAAACUGCGAAUGUCACGCCAACAUGCUCGGCAGUCAGACAGCGGGUGAUAAGGUCCGUUGUCAAGAGGGAAACAGCCCAGACCAUCAGCUAAGGUCCCAAAAUGUAUGCUAAGUGGAAAAGGAUGUGGAGAUGUACAGACAACUAGGAGGUUGGCUCAGAAGCAGCCAUCCUUUAAAGAGUGCGUAACAGCUCACUAGUCGAAUGACUCUGCGCCGAUAAUUUACCGGGGCUAAGCAUACUACCGAAGCUAUGGAUCCCAAGGGAUGGUAGGGGAGCGUUCCAUGAACGGAGAAGUACGACCGAAAGGACGUGUGGAGAUCAUGGAAGAGAGAAUGCCGGUGUGAGUAGCGGAACGUGGGUGAGAAUCCCACGCACCGAAAACCCAAGGUUUCCAGAGGAAGGUUCGUCCGCUCUGGGUAAGUCGGGACCUAAGGCGAGGCCGAAAGGCGUAGUCGAUGGACAACAGGUAGAGAUUCCUGUACCCGUAUAUAUGUGAAGGAAUGACGGAGAGAGGAAGCUGCAGCCAGCGGCUGGAAGAGCUGGUGCAAGCGAGAUAUCGGGAUGGCAGGCAAAUCCACCAUCCGAAACGAGAAGGCGUGAAGCGUACGGAAAGCUACGGCGAGUACGGAAGGCAGUGGAGGAACUUCCAAGAAAAGUUUCUAACGUUAAGUAUAUAUGGCCCGUACCGAAAAUGGACACACAUGGGUGAGGAGAGAAUCCUAAGGUGAGCGAGAGAACUAUAGCUAAGGAACUCUGCAAAAUGACUCCGUAACUUAGGGAGAAGGAGUGCUCAUAGAGAUAUGAGCCGCAGUGAAACGGCCCAAGCGACUGUUUACCAAAAACACAGCUCUCUGCUAAGCCGCAAGGCGAAGUAUAGGGGGUGACGCCUGCCCGGUGCUGGAAGGUUAAGGGGAGGGGUUAACGCAAGUGAAGCCCUGAACUGAAGCCCCAGUAAACGGCGGCCGUAACUAUAACGGUCCUAAGGUAGCGAAAUUCCUUGUCAGGUAAGUUCUGACCCGCACGAAUGGCGUAAUGAUCUGGGCACUGUCUCGACAGCCCACCCGGCGAAAUUGUAGUACUGGUGAAGAUGCCAGUUACCCGCAACUAGACGGAAAGACCCCAUGGAGCUUUACUGCAGCUUAAUACUGGAAAUCGGUAAUUCAUGUACAGGAUAGGUGGGAGACGGAGAAGCAUGGUCGUCAGGUCAUGUGGAGUCGCCCUUGGGAUACCACUCUUGGAUUGCUGAUUUUCUAACCUGCGGCCGUGAAUCCGGUCGGGGGACACUGUUAGGCGGGCAGUUUGACUGGGGCGGUCGCCUCCAAAAAGGUAACGGAGGCGCUCAAAGGUUCGUUCAGCACGGACGGAAAUCGUGCAUUGAGUGUAAACGCAUAAACGAGCCUAACUGCGAGACCGACGGGUCGAGCAGUAACGAAAGUUGGAGUUAGUGAUCCGGUGGUAUGUGAGUGGAAAUGCCAUCGCUCAACGGAUAAAAGCUACCCUGGGGAUAACAGGCUGAUCUCCCCCAAGCGUCCACAGCGACGGGGAGGUUUGGCACCUCGAUGUCGGCUCGUCACAUCCUGGGGCUGUAUUCGGUCCCAAGGGUUCGGCUGUUCGCCGAUUAAAGUGGCACGCGAGCUGGGUUCAGAACGUCGUGAGACAGUUCGGUCCCUAUCUGUUGCGGGCGUAAGAGAUUUGAAGGGAGCUGUCCUUAGUACGAGAGGACCGGGAUGGACGUACCUCUGGUGCACCAGUUGUCCUGCCAAGGGCAUAGCUGGGUAGCUAUGUACGGACGAGAUAAACGCUGAAAGCAUCUAAGCGUGAAACUCCCCCUAAGAUGAGAUCUCUCAUCCUUUAUGGAGUAAGGGCCCAGAAAGACGAUCUGGUUGAUAGGCCGGAGGUGGAAGUGCAGUAAUGUAUGGAGCUGACCGGUACUAAUAGCCCGAGGGCUUGACCUA